RNAcentral lists this unclassified non-coding RNA (237 nucleotides) under Streptantibioticus cattleyicolor NRRL 8057 = DSM 46488. RNAcentral's name for it is "Streptomyces cattleya NRRL 8057 = DSM 46488 T-box". The record is from RNAcentral. Lineage: Bacteria; Bacillati; Actinomycetota; Actinomycetes; Kitasatosporales; Streptomycetaceae.
GGCAACGCGUUGACGGAGACGAGUAGCCAGGGACCACGCGAGCAGAGAGAGCCGCCGGCAUCUGGGAAGGCGGUCUCGCGCCCCGAGGCGAAGACCCUCCCGAGCGCGGGGAGGAACGGCCCCCUCUUAUGGCCCAAUGCCCCGCCGGCCGGCCCCCGUCACCGGGCCAGAACGAGGCCGCCACUUGGUGGCGGUGAAAGUGCGGUGGUACCGCGAGUUGCCCUUCUCGCCCGCACU